This 950-nucleotide small RNA is filed under the name Pongo abelii (Sumatran orangutan). RNAcentral describes it as "retained intron". Lineage: Eukaryota; Metazoa; Chordata; Mammalia; Primates; Hominidae. The record is from RNAcentral.
CAACACCACGGUCUGCCUGGGCAAAAUCGGCUCCUACCUCAGUGCUAGCGUGAGUGUCCUGCACAACUGCUGGAGCCUGGUCCCUGUCGCAGGACCACAGCCUCCUCCAGGGCCAGGAGUCUUGUGUGUGGGGGCCUUCAUUCUCCCAGAGACGUAGGCCCUGCACACUGUUGGCCCCAUAUCUGGGUUCCCAGAGGUGGAAUGAGUUGGCCGAGGUCACACAGCCAGGAGGGAUCUGGGAUCUGAAUCCAGGUCUGCUUGGCCCCAUGGCCUGUGUGCAUCCCCUCAGCCAGGGUUUGUAAGUUCAGUUGCUUGCCGUGCCCAGACAGUUAACAGGAAUGAACGGUCAGCUGGGCAGGGAGGAAGGGAGCCUGUGUCCGAGCCCUGGGGACAGCUGCUGUUGUGGUCCCAUGCCCUGAGGCAGUGUGGAGCCCAGUGAUUUGGGAAGAGAAGCCCAGGUCCAGAGUUUUAGGUAAACUCUCCCCAUUUAAGUGAUUCAUUCACAUUUUUCAGAUUCUGGGGGCCUAUGGGUGGCCCCAUUCUGGGAAGUAAGGGCUGGUGGUUCUGGGUCCCAACAUUGACCGUACACUCAGGAGCCCUCUUUCCUGCCCCAUUGUAGACCAGACACAGGGUCCUUACCUCUGCCUUCAGCCGAGCCACUAAGGACCCGUUUGCACCAUCCCGGGUUGCGGGUGUCCUGGGCUUUGCUGCCACCCACAACCUCUACUCAAUGAACGACUGUGCCCACAAGAUCCUGCCUGUGCUCUGCGGUCUCACUGUAGAUCCUGAGAAAUCUGUGCGAGACCAGGCCUUCAAGGCCAUUCGGAGCUUCCUGUCCAAAUUGGAGUCUGUGUCGGAGGACCCGACCCAGCUGGAGGAAGUGGGUGAGUGGCCUACACUCGUGUUCCCUCUUUCCCUGCCAUGUCCUUGACUGUGACCUGUGUCCCACC